AGCAGUUAUACUACACUGUCGUGCACUACUGUACACACGCGGGAAUUCGAUGGCGGUUGACUCCAUGGAAUCGGUGGCCUUGGUCGCGGUGCCCUUCCCGGCGCAGGGCCACCUGAACCAGCUCAUGCACCUCUCCCUGCUGGCCGCGUCGCGGGGGCUCUCCGUGCACUACGCGGCGCCCGCGGCGCACCUCCGGCAGGCCCGGUCGCGCCUGCACGGCUGGGACCCGCAGGCCCUCGGCUCCGUCCGGUUCCACGACCUCGGCGUCUCGGCGUUCGAGUCCCCGGCGCCCGACCCGGCCGCCCCGUGCCCCUUCCCGAACCACCUCAUGUCCAUGUGGCAGACCUUCACCACCGCCGCGCGCGCCCCGCUCGCCGCCCUCCUGGAGAGCCUCUCCGCCACCCACCGCCGCGUGGUCGUCGUGCACGACAGGCUCAACUCCUUCGCCGCCGUCGAGGCGGCGCGGCUGAGCAACGGCGAGGCCUUCGCGCUGCAGUGCGUCGCCAUCUCGUACAACAUCGGGUGGCUGGACGCCGAGCACCCGCUCCUGCGCGACAACGGCCUCCGGUUCCACCCCAUCGACGCCUGCAUGUCCAAGGAGUUCCUCGAGUACGUCUUCCAGACGGAGAAGGAGAUGCAGGAGCGGGGGGGCGUGCCCACCGCCGGCAUGGUCAUGAACACGUGCCGCGCACUCGAGGGCGACUUCAUGGACGCCAUCGCGGCGCACCCGGCGUUCAAGGACCAGAAUCUCUUCGCGGUUGGGCCACUGAACCCGCUGCUGGACGCGAGCGCCCGGACGCCGGCCAAGACGCGGCACGACUGCAUGGACUGGCUCGACAAGCAGCCGCCGGCGUCGGUGCUCUACGUGUCCUUCGGAACGACGUCGUCUCUCCUGGGAGAGCAAAUCGCGGAGCUGGCGGCGGCACUCAAGGGCAGCAAGCAGAGGUUCAUCUGGGUGUUGCGCGAGGCCGACCGUGCCGACAUAUUCAAGGAGCCCGGCGAGAGCCUGCACGACAAGCUGCUCUCUGAGUUCACCAAAGAGACCGAGGGGACUGGGCUGGUGAUCACCGGGUGGGCGCCGCAGCUGGAGAUCCUGGCGCACGGCGCCACGGCGGCAUUCAUGAGCCAUUGCGGCUGGAACUCGACAAUGGAGAGCCUGAGCCACGGCAAGCCGAUUCUGGCAUGGCCAAUGCACUCCGACCAGCCGUGGGACGCGGAGCUUCUCUGCAAGUACCUCAAGGCCGGGCUCCUCGUGAGGCCAUGGGAGAAGCACAGCGAGGUGGUGCCGGCGGCGGCCAUCCAGGAGGUGAUCGAGGAAGCGAUGCUCACGGACAAAGGGAUGGCGGUGCGGCAGCGGGCGAAGGUGCUCGGCGAGGCCGUUCGCGGCGCCGUGGCCGACGGCGGCUCCUCGAGCAAAGGCCUCGACGACUUCGUUGCUUACGUCACAAGGUGAUCAGCGUAUCCGUGCGUGCCAUACACAGAUACGCAUUGAGCGGUUUGGUCUCAUCGAGGCCAAGAAGAAAGAUUUGGAGGAGAUGAUAAUCUACAAAGCAUUUUCAUCUAAAAGCAAGUGGGAAGGGAAAAUAAAUAAUCAUACUAUCAACGG
This 1606-nucleotide ribosomal RNA is filed under the name Triticum aestivum (bread wheat). Its description in RNAcentral is "partial small subunit ribosomal RNA". The record is from RNAcentral. Lineage: Eukaryota; Viridiplantae; Streptophyta; Magnoliopsida; Poales; Poaceae.